UUGUGUGUUUAUUCUAGAUAAAGCUAUACACAACAGACAAUUAAGUGUAGAAAGACCUCUGGAGGAACAGAUUGCUGAAGCUGAGGCAGACAAGAAUAGGAAAAUAGUUCCCACAGAGAACAAACCAGAGUUCAGAAAUUAUUCCUUUGUUGAUGACUUGAAUCUGCUAAAGUCAGUAGCAGAAAGAGAGAGGAAU
Tinamus guttatus (white-throated tinamou) is the source of this 196-nucleotide non-coding RNA. NCBI's taxonomy places the organism in Eukaryota, Metazoa, Chordata, Aves, Tinamiformes, Tinamidae. The record is from RefSeq and is a predicted model, not a curated record.